GCCCGCUUAGCUCAAUGGAUAGAGCGCGUGGCUUCGGACCACGAGGUUAGGGGUUCGAGUCCCUUAGCGGGCA
This 73-nucleotide transfer RNA is filed under the name Candidatus Dormiibacterota bacterium. RNAcentral's name for it is "tRNA-Arg". It matches the Rfam family "tRNA". Rfam says of the family: Transfer RNA (tRNA) molecules are approximately 80 nucleotides in length. Their secondary structure includes four short double-helical elements and three loops (D, anti-codon, and T loops). Further hydrogen bonds mediate the characteristic L-shaped molecular structure. tRNAs have two regions of fundamental functional importance: the anti-codon, which is responsible for specific mRNA codon recognition, and the 3' end, to which the tRNAs corresponding amino acid is attached (by aminoacyl-tRNA synthetases). tRNAs cope with the degeneracy of the genetic code in two manners: having more than one tRNA (with a specific anti-codon) for a particular amino acid; and 'wobble' base-pairing, i.e. permitting non-standard base-pairing at the 3rd anti-codon position. Lineage: Bacteria; Bacillati; Candidatus Dormiibacterota. The record is from RNAcentral. RNAcentral also lists the same sequence under 1 other name.